Molecule: ribosomal RNA, 253 nt
Filed under: uncultured bacterium
Lineage: Bacteria
Description: partial 16S ribosomal RNA
Rfam family: Bacterial small subunit ribosomal RNA
Source: RNAcentral
UACAGAGGCCUCGAGCGUUAGGCGGAAUCACUGGGCUUAAAGCGUGUGUAGGCGGAGUUCUAAGUACCUUGUGAAAUCCCACGGCUCAACCGUGGAACUGCUUGGUAUACUGGUUCUCUUGAGGUACCUAGGGGCGAGCGGAACAAGUGGUGGAGCGGUGAAAUACGUAGAUAUCACUUGGAACGCCAACGGUGAAAACAGCUCGCUGGGGGUAUCCUGACGCUGAGACACGAAAGCCAGGGGAGCAAACGGG